AGGGAUGGGCAGGGGGCUCGGGGCCCCCCAGUGCAGAUCCGUCCGUGCCGUGCCCCUCCCCCCGAGCCCAAAUUCCGCUCCCGGGGGUCGCUGGAUGCGAGGGGGUGACGCAGGUGGGGUGGGAGUGGGGAGCGCUGGGCGCUGCGGGUCUGCUGCUGUUCCAAAUACAUAUUAUGGAAUUGGCUUCUCGCUAAUAUUCAGAUAAAUACUGUAUGUGUAGUGUUAGAAUUGUUUUUAAAAUAUAGUUUUCUUUUAAAAAAGCAUAGGCUAAUGAAGUGUCUUCGUAAUAAAUAAACUACCUACUUGUUAAAAACGAGGUUCACUUUCCUGGUAAAUUUAGAAAGGUUUAAUAAAAGACAGUAAGAAACAAGCAAUAAAGCAAAAGAUUAUAAAGACCAGGUGCUUGACAUUUAGGCAAGAGCACACACUAACUCAGAAAACACUUCUUUAAAUGCAUCAACCUGUUGCAUAUUCAUAGGCCUUCAUGCAUUAUUCAAAUUCAUGGCCUCUCAAAGUGAUCUUAGCAUCUUCCUCUCCUCUCGGCUUGACUUGCACAGCUGAGGUGGACGUAAGUGACAGAAUGAACAUAGAACAGCUUAGACUGGUUUCCUGCUCGGCGGAAUGUUUGGGACAGGGAUAUUUGAUAAGUACUGAUGACUGAAUCUGAGCUGCAUCGUGUGAUCUUGGCUUUGCAAUAGCUGGGAGGAAAGUGAGGGCUAAAGCGACCGCCCCUGGGCCGUGAGGAAAGCGGCCGCAGGCGGCUCGGCCCGGGCGCUCGAGGCUUCUCUGCCCCGGAGAGCCACCAGCCCCCGGAAUAGUGCUCCGUUCUUUUCCCCAUCGGCCCCUACCGGAAUUUUUUUUUUUUGUAAGAUUCUUUUUCCUUUAUAUUUUCUGUUGCCUCCCUUCGCUCCGCCUGCGUCGUCUCGGCCCCGCUGUCACCAGAGCCCGGCCCGAAGCGACCGGCCCGGCCCGGGUUCCCCCGCCCGCUGUGACAGCGCAGGGCCGGGCGCCCUUGGCGGCUUUCGGCUUUGGUUCUGCGCUCUGAGGGGAGGGAAUUUUGUGUUUCUGGUGCAGGGCGUUUUAUUUUUCGACGCGGCAGGCGGAGGUGCGGGAAUGGGCAGGAGUCUUAGACGGGAGUGCGGUAGUUGUUAAGUCUCCCUUUUUCGCCAUCGUCACGCUGGUUUUUCUUUCUGAUUUCUGUUUUUCCUUCUGUUUUCCCCUUGCUUCCCGCGCCGCCCCUCAGGCUCGGCGGUGGCGCGGGGCACCACGGGAAGGGCUUUUCCCGUCGCCGCCAGCCGAGCGUGAGGGACCCUGGGCGGCGACGGGAGAGGAGGAGGCUGCGCUGGGCGAGCAGCGGGGCCGGGCACGGGCUGCGGGUGAUGGCGGGAGAGGAGGAGGCUGCGCUGGGCGAGCAGCGGGGUCGGGCACGCAUGGUGAUGUAAAAAGCUUUUGUUCACAUAACUAACUCAGAGAAUGGUAAAAAAAGAAGAUAUUCAGGAAAUUCUUCACAUUCUUGGAUUAUCCUGUCUCAAUGAAUACAGGAGUGAUGAACACUAGAACUCCAGGAAAGGAAUUUAUUGAUCUCCAUUAUCUGGGAAUGCACUAACAAGAAGGAGAAUGAGCCACAAGCGGAAAAAAAAUUAAAAUAAAAAGUUUUAAAAAGCUGA
Molecule: long non-coding RNA, 1667 nt
Organism: Oenanthe melanoleuca
Lineage: Eukaryota; Metazoa; Chordata; Aves; Passeriformes; Muscicapidae
Exons: 2
Source: RefSeq, a predicted model, not a curated record